Molecule: non-coding RNA, 709 nt
Organism: Dermacentor albipictus
Lineage: Eukaryota; Metazoa; Arthropoda; Arachnida; Ixodida; Ixodidae
Source: RefSeq, a predicted model, not a curated record
UUGCCAUGGUUCCGACCAGAAAAGAGAGCGAGUAUAAAACGAUCCACAUGACUGAUCUCUACUACAGGCGGCGGAUAGCACAUCGAGCUCCAUCAACUGAAGAUAACCUUGUCCCGGAUGAUGGUGCUUCACGACUUUGCAGCAGCACUUCAUCUGCACAGCCUGCGGAGACAAGGUUUCUUAAAGAUCGCCGUGGCCCUCAAGAAAAUGUCGAGGCCAGAGCAGUUGACUGCAGAAGCCAAGAGCACAAGAAGUUCCUCCGAUGACCGUAAAAAGCACUCCUCCUUGCCAGGACUGACAGCAGUGCCCCUACCCACUCCAUCGCAAUCAUCACUGUUAAGUACACCCUUCCUCCAUUUAUUUUAAAGCUUUGGCUCCUCUUGACCUACCAUAUGCACCAGCUUCUCCUCCCCCAAUGAGUGUAGGAGCCAGUGAGCUACGCACAAAAAACGAUGCCAAGUAAAACUUUUGCUACCCUGAUGACAAGCACCUUUGUUCAAAUGUCAGCUAUAGAAACAUUCCUUGUUACAGCAAUUGUGGUCUACGCAUAUAUUUUGCUAACACAGGAGUUACUGCUUUGUUCUGUUCCGUGAUUACCAUUUUUUGCCGCUCUCCUUAGGAUGGAAAUUCACUAAUAUUAUUUGUUUCUCCUAGCAGCAGCAGGUUUAUUCUUGCAAGGCAUUUGAGGUCAAGAACAACUUUCGCCAGG